RNAcentral lists this ribosomal RNA (275 nucleotides) under Tylos sp. clade E MM-2013. RNAcentral describes it as "partial 12S small subunit ribosomal RNA". The record is from RNAcentral. Lineage: Eukaryota; Metazoa; Arthropoda; Malacostraca; Isopoda; Tylidae.
ACUUGGAAACUAGACCUUAACUAGUAGGAAUUAUAUUUCUGAAAUUUAAAAAGUUUGGCGGCUUUUAGAGGGCUCAGGGGAAUUUGUAUCGUUAUCGUAACCACGCGCUACACCUUACUUAGCUCUAGCUUGUAUACCGCCGCCUAAGUAAUCUUUAUAGAGGUUGCUACAAUUAGCCAUACAGACGUCAGGUCAUGGUGCAGUAUAGCUAAGGUGAUUACAAAUUACAAUUUACAUCCAACUUGGAAUUAAAAUUAAAACUUUAAUGAAAUAGG